Molecule: ribosomal RNA, 292 nt
Filed under: uncultured bacterium
Lineage: Bacteria
Description: partial 16S ribosomal RNA
Rfam family: Bacterial small subunit ribosomal RNA
Source: RNAcentral
GUGCCAGCAGCCGCGGUAAUACGGAGGGUGCAAGCGUUAUCCGGAUUCACUGGGUUUAAAGGGUGCGUAGGCGGAAUGAUAAGUCAGUGGUGAAAGCUCCGAGCUCAACUUGGAAAUUGCCAUUGAUACUGUUGUUCUUGAGUUCGGUUGAGGUAGGCGGAAUGUUGCAUGUAGCGGUGAAAUGCUUAGAUAUGCAACAGAACACCGAUUGCGAAGGCAGCUUACCAAGCCGACACUGACGCUGAGGCACGAAAGCGUGGGGAUCAAACAGGAUUAGAAACCCCGGUAGUCC